UCCCCGUUAUCCGAGGCAGUUUCCUAAGAGUUCCACCCUUUCGGGUAUGGCAACAUAGGAUAAGGGUUGCGCUCGUUGCGGGACUUAACCCAACAUCUCACGACACGAGCUGACGACAGCCAUGCAGCACCUCUGCUGGUUACCGAUUUGACGGUCCGUCUCAACUUUCAUCGAGACUACUUCCAGUAGUUCAAGCCCAGGUAAGGUUCUUCGCGUUGCGUCGAAUUAAACCACAUGCUCCACCGCUUGUGCGGGCCCCCGUCAAUUCCUUUGGGUUUCAACCUUGCGGCCGUACUCCCCAGGCGGCACAUUUAAUGCGUUUGCGUCGACACGAAGGGGGUCGAUACCCCUCACGUCUAAUGUGCAUCGUUUACAGCUAGGACUAC
Molecule: unclassified non-coding RNA, 386 nt
Filed under: uncultured Elusimicrobia bacterium
Lineage: Bacteria; Pseudomonadati; Elusimicrobiota; Elusimicrobia
Description: contains 16S-23S intergenic spacer region
Source: RNAcentral